RNAcentral lists this ribosomal RNA (473 nucleotides) under Gigaspora gigantea. RNAcentral's name for it is "eukaryotic LSU rRNA". It matches the Rfam family "Eukaryotic large subunit ribosomal RNA", at positions 242 to 627 of the family's 3401-position model. The record is from RNAcentral. Lineage: Eukaryota; Fungi; Glomeromycota; Glomeromycetes; Diversisporales; Gigasporaceae.
GUUAUUUAAUACGUUUCUAAGAGUCGAGUUGUUUGGGAAUGCAGCUCUAAAUGGGUGGUAAAUUUCACCUAAUGCUAAAUAUAAGCGAGAGACCGAUAGCGAACAAGUACAGUGAUGGAAAGAUGAAAAGAACUUUGAAAAGAGAGUUAAAUAGUACGUGAAAUUGUUGAAAGGGAAACGAUUGAAGUCAGUCAUGCCGGUGGGAAUCAACUUAGAGGAAACUCUGAGUGCACUUCUUCGCUUGGCAGGUCAACGUCGAUUUUGGAUGUCAUAAAAUGAUUGGGGGAAGGUAGCUCCUUCGGGAGUGUUAUAGCCCUUGGUAGAUGUGAUGUCUGGGAUCGAGGAUUGCAAUGGAUACCCUUUGGGGCUAGCCGCCUGAUCUCUAAUCUGGUAUUGGGUUACGGAUAGCAUGCUGACCGUGAUCUAAUUAUUGGUUAAAAGGUUAGAGCGUGCAUAAAUUCGUUAAGGAUGUU